RNAcentral lists this ribosomal RNA (435 nucleotides) under uncultured bacterium. Its description in RNAcentral is "partial 16S ribosomal RNA". It matches the Rfam family "Bacterial small subunit ribosomal RNA", at positions 28 to 507 of the family's 1533-position model. The record is from RNAcentral.
GAUGAACGCUGGCGGUAUGCUUAACACAUGCAAGUCGAACGGACUCUUCGGAGUUAGUGGCGGACGGGUGAGUAACGCGUGAGAAUCUGGCUUUGGGUUCGGGACAACCACUGGAAACGGUGGCUAAUACCGGAUGUGCCGAGAGGUAAAAGAGAAAUUGCCUGAAGAUGAGCUCGCGUCUGAUUAGCUAGUUGGUGAGGUAAAGGCUCACCAAGGCAGCGAUCAGUAGCUGGUCUGAGAGGAUGACCAGCCACACUGGGACUGAGACACGGCCCAGACUCCUACGGGAGGCAGCAGUGGGGAAUUUUCCGCAAUGGGCGAAAGCCUGACGGAGCAAUACCGCGUGAGGGAAGAAGGCUCUUGGGUUGUAAACCUCUUUUCUUAGGGAAGAACAAAAUGACGGUACCUAAGGAAUCGGCAUCGGCUAACUCCGUG